RNAcentral lists this ribosomal RNA (564 nucleotides) under uncultured Glomeromycotina. Its description in RNAcentral is "SSU rRNA". It matches the Rfam family "Eukaryotic small subunit ribosomal RNA", at positions 548 to 1114 of the family's 1831-position model. Lineage: Eukaryota; Fungi; Glomeromycota. The record is from RNAcentral.
UUGGAGGGCAAGUCUGGUGCCAGCAGCCGCGGUAAUUCCAGCUCCAAUAGCGUAUAUUAAAGUUGUUGCAGUUAAAAAGCUCGUAGUUGAACUUCGGGACCAUCAUGUCGGUCGUGCCUCGGUACGUACUGGCAUUGUUGGUUUCUCCCUUCUGACGAACCUUGAUGUCAUUUAUUUGGUGUUGUGGGAAAUCAGGACUGUUACUUUGAAAAAAUUAGAGUGUUUAAAGCAGGCUCACGCUUGAAUACAUUAGCAUGGAAUAAUGAAAUAGGACGUUUGAUUCUAUUUUGUUGGUUUCUAGGAUCGACGUAAUGAUUAAUAGGGAUAGUUGGGGGCAUUAGUAUUCAAUUGUCAGAGGUGAAAUUCUUGGAUUUACUGAAGACUAACUACUGCGAAAGCAUUUGCCAAGGAUGUUUUCAUUAAUCAAGAACGAAAGUUAGGGGAUCGAAGACGAUCAGAUACCGUCGUAGUCUUAACCAUAAACUAUGCCGACUAGGGAUCGGAUGAUGUUAAUUUUUUAAUGACUCAUUCGGCGCCUUACGGGAAACCAAAGUGUUUGGGUUC